Long non-coding RNA from Homo sapiens (human), 480 nucleotides. RefSeq lists it as uncharacterized. The transcript has 3 exons. The record is from RefSeq and is a predicted model, not a curated record. Lineage: Eukaryota; Metazoa; Chordata; Mammalia; Primates; Hominidae.
AUUGGGUCUCCUUCCAAGGAGGCGAAUGUUCCGGAUAAACUCUGGGGCAAGAGGCAAUGGCAAACUGAAGAAGUCCUUCCUUUCCAGAGCCAAGUUGUUCACCUUCCAACGGGCAAACUCCCUGGGGGAAAAGCCAAGGGAUAAGGAAAAGCUGACCUCGUUUCAGAGCAAGAGGCAUAAAAUCUGAAGUACUGCAGGUGCUGCUCUUUUAGCCUGGGCCCCAGAAUAAACACCACUAGAAGAAACACCUAAUGGCCUCCUUGCAGACCAGCAGCGUGAUGCAAAGCUAACCCGGCGAACCUGCACAUGAAUGAGAUCCAGGACUCUGAGGCCCUAAGGAAUGGCAGUGAUGAGGUAGGAGUCUUGGUCCUGAAUGAUUUCAUGAAGCAAUCUCCUUUUAUGUCUCUCAUAAAUUGUAUUGGAGUGUGACAUGAGCAAAAACAUAAACUUUCAUUAAGUCACUCAGAUUUGAGGACUGUU